CGAGAUCAUUAACCAACACACUAUCAUCAAUACUAGAAAACAGGUAACACAAAAUAUGAAUUCAUUAAAGUCAGGCGAAACACUUCAAUUUGUAAAAUUAAACAACAAAAGCUCAAAAAGUAUGCUUGAGAAAUCUACUCGUCAUUGACUAGGUUCAUCUCGCCUUCCUCGACAUCUGCAUCGUCAAUAUCGACCUCCUGGUCGUCAGUGGCAUCCUCAGACUCCAAAAGCUUGAGGUCUUCAGCAACUUUUGGGAUGUUCUUUAAGUCCUCGGGGUUAGCAUCAGGCUUCGAACGCAAGAACGCCCGAGCCUCUUUUAAAGUAUGGAAGUAUGAGCUUAUGGCGUACUCCCCCUUCAACCCAUUGAUCUCUUCAGAAGUUUUGAAGUCCUCAAUUGUGAUGCCUCGAGCUUCAGUCAGGCGAGUUUCAAAAUCUCUCUUCAAACGCUCGAUCUCGAGCUUUAAAUCCUCGACCUCACCCUUGGCUAUUCCAGCCUCUUUCGGGGCUUUCUGAAGGUCAUUCUUGGCGUCAUUGCGUUCCUUCCGAAGAAGGAAGCGCUCAGCCUCCAUGUUAGCCAUUCUCUUCUCAUGUGCUAGAGCAGUAUCCUCGAGCUCAACAGUUUUUUGUGCCUCGUCUUUCCCCUUUAGAGAAAGGCCUUGGGCAAUGCUCAGCGUCUGCAGUAUUAAAAAGACGAGGUUAAUGAUCGAGCCAUAGAAAUUAAGGCACAAUGUAAGUAAAGUAAGUGAGCUUACCUUCAGCAUAAGAGACUCAAGGGCUUUCAUGCCCUCGUUGAAGCCAAGCUCCAUACGAUACUUGUCCACAAUACCCGACAACAAAGGGCACCAGUCAGAAUCUCAAUCUUGAAAAGAAGGGGCAGGAAGGGCUUCAUCCUCAAGGUCAACAACCUCGGGAGUACUUCUCGACCGAGGAUUUGAUCGAGGAGUAGUAAGUGGAA
RNAcentral lists this long non-coding RNA (955 nucleotides) under Olea europaea subsp. europaea. The record is from RNAcentral. Lineage: Eukaryota; Viridiplantae; Streptophyta; Magnoliopsida; Lamiales; Oleaceae.